RNAcentral lists this ribosomal RNA (448 nucleotides) under Cacopsylla pyrisuga. RNAcentral's name for it is "partial 16S ribosomal RNA". It matches the Rfam family "Bacterial large subunit ribosomal RNA", at positions 1823 to 2571 of the family's 2925-position model. The record is from RNAcentral. Lineage: Eukaryota; Metazoa; Arthropoda; Insecta; Hemiptera; Psyllidae.
AAACAUUUCUGAGGGGAAAAUGUUUUUGGUAUAACCUGCUCAAUGCUUUUUGUAAAUAGCUGCAGUAUUUUGACUGUACAAAGGUAGCAUAAUCAUUAGUCUUUUGAUUGGAGGCUUGUAUGAAUGGUUGAACAGAAAAUUAACUUUUUUAGUUGCACGAAGUUUUAAUUUGUAGUUUAUGUAAAAAUGCAUAAUUAUUUAAAAGGGACGAUAAGACCCUAUAGAAUUUAAAAAUAAUUUUGAAGAUAAAUUUUUUUGUUGGGGUGACAAUAAAUAAACUUUUAUAAUACUUUCAUUGAUGAGUGGUUUAAUGAUCCUGUAUUUUAGAUAAAAAGAUAAAAUUACCUUAGGGAUAACAGCAUAAUUUUUUUUAAAAGAUCUUAUUAGUAAAAAAGAUUAUGACCUCGAUGUUGAAUUAAAAUAAGAUUUUGGUGUAGAAGCUAAAUUC